Molecule: long non-coding RNA, 1118 nt
Organism: Ahaetulla prasina
Lineage: Eukaryota; Metazoa; Chordata; Lepidosauria; Squamata; Colubridae
Exons: 3
Source: RefSeq, a predicted model, not a curated record
UGUGUGUGCUCUAUCACUAGAGGUUUUUAAGAAAAGAUUGAGCAGGAGGUUGGACUAGAAGAUGUCCCUUUCAAUUCUGUUAUUUUGUUCUCUACUUUUGGUCUUGUUCUUCCUUUCUGUUCUGUCCCCUCCCGGCCUCAGCCACGCGUGCUAGCUAAACGAACCAGUAAUUGAGUUCACGGCUGCUAUCAGUCCUGGCAGGGAAUCUGCAGCUGCCUGCCAAAGUCUCCCUUAUCUUGGGGUUGCCAGGCAACCAGGAAGUCAGCAAUCCAGGCCGAAUGUUCAGCUCAAUUCUCCACGAGUCAAAGAGUUCAGCUCACUUCUCCACGAGUCAAAUAGUUCAGCUCAAUUUUCCAUGAGUCAAAGAGUUCAGCUCACUUUUCCACGAGUCAAAUAGUUCAGCUCAAUUUUUGUUCGUCACAGAGCAGAAGAGCAGCCAGGGCUGCUUUUAUACUCUGUGGGGUUUGGCUUCGUGACACAGCACUCUCUAGGCCUGCCCCACCCCUUCCUUUGUUGCUGUUGCCUCUCGUAUCUCCGAAAUCUGGGAUCCAUCCAGGCCUGAUUGCCAUCAGCCGGGUCUGGAGGCAUGGCCUGGAGGGGAACAGUCAGGAGAUGGAGGCCUCGUUAUCUCAUCCACCUGGCCUGCCUCUGGCUCCUGCAACUGAGCCAGGGAAGCCGGUGCUCCUGAGGAUAUGUUCAUGUACACUGUAGAAGCUCCCAUCUACUUCCCUCCCCCAUGCAAGUCAAAGAAGAAAAAUGCCUUUCCUUCCAUAUGGCAAAUUAAAAGAUAUACAGUAGCCCAACUCAAGAAAUAAGCCACGAAAGACAAAGAGGUUUAUUCUGUAGCUGAAACGCUUCUGUUUCCAAAACCAUGACUCACCGCUGAUGUAUUGUGAUCCAAUGAAUCUUUGCACAGAGGACCUGAUCUUUGUCAGUGACAAAAGCAACACCGAAGAGGAGCAUUUAUUCAGAAUUAAUGAAUUCAAAUAAAUCAUCGGUUGACUUUAUUAAGUAAUGAGUUAUUUAAUUAAGAAUGGAGAUGGAUGGAGAUAGAUAGAACUCUUACGAGAGGCACGGUUUUCCAGACCCUUUUUACCUUCUCUUGCACCAAUCCUGCU